Molecule: long non-coding RNA, 1026 nt
Filed under: Salvia miltiorrhiza (redroot sage)
Lineage: Eukaryota; Viridiplantae; Streptophyta; Magnoliopsida; Lamiales; Lamiaceae
Description: long non-coding RNA (SMIL_LNC012657)
Source: RNAcentral
AAAAUUCAAAUUUAACACUUCCAUUAGUUGCAAGUCGAUAUAUAAACAACUAUCCACAAUUCAUUUAUUAUGCUAAACGUGUAGUAAGAAAGGAACAAAACAAAGGUCAGAUAACUUAAACUAUGACACAGUAAAUAUAAGCAUUGAUGUUGCAGGGGAGGAUAAUUUCCAUAACAUCAUUUUUGAAGAAAAAUGGAGAAAAUUUUAAAUUAUGCAAUUAUGGCCCGUAAAUUCAAGGACUAUACAUCAAGUUUCACAAAUGCCAAAUGAUAAAUUUAAUAACAAUCUAUCUAUAUUAUAUAUAAAGCAGCAGUUUCAACGGUAAUAUUUUCCCACCAAAUUUUUUACAGUUUUUUUCUUUCAAAAUUUAAAUAAACGUGUGGUCUGUUUUGAUGAAUCCGCGUGUUUAUCUUUCAUCCAAAUCUUCUUUAUCCGAAAAGAUAAUUCUCAUUCUAAAAAAAAAAAAAGAUAAUUCCUCUAUAACUUAAUCAUGAAAAAUUUGAACUAAUAUAGAAAGAAAGAUAAUUUUCCCAAAAGUUCAAUCAACCAAAUACAGGCCGAUUCCAAAGUUGAAACAUCAAAUUAAAGAAAAGGUGCCUGAAAAUUUAGAUUUUCAUUUUCUUUUGUCAAAAAACAACACAAGUAUUCACAUUUUACCUAAAGAUUUCUUCUUGAUUUUUUUUUUCCUUUCUUCAUUUACUCUGCUCUCCAAUCUCGCCAUCCUUGACGAAGCCGACGAUUAAGUCAGGCAACAUUUAUCCAUGCGCUUGAAAAUCAUCGUCUUUGCGAAUAACACCACAUACAGCGACGAAACACUGAAAAUUGUUAACGAAAGAUUGAACACAUUGGCCGAACAAAUCAAUGUGCUGCACAAUUUACUCGACGAUGGGAAAGAUGAAUCCACUGAUAGAGAAGAGAUUAAAAAAAAGAAUAAGAAGAAGAAAUACAGAAAAGAGAAAAAGAUGCAAAAACAAAAUGAAAAGUAAAAACUGAAAAACGCGGCGUCGUUGGAGUAAAAUGAAUUAG